GGGCGAGGGUUGCCCGGGAUUAUUGGGCGUAAGAGCUCGUAGGCGGCGUGUCGCGUCUGCUGUGAAAGACCGGGGCUUAACUCCGGUUCUGCAGUGGAUACGGGCAUGCUAGAGGUAGGAAGGGGAGACUGAAAUUCCUGGUGUAGCGGUGAAAUGCGCAGAUAUCAGGAGGAACACCGGUGGCGAAGGCGGGUCUCUGGGCCUUACCUGACGCUGAGGAGCGAAAGCAUGGGGAGCGAACAGGAUUAGAUACCCUGGUAGUCCAUGCCGUAAACGUUGGGCGCUAGGUGUGGGGACUUUCCACGGUUUCCGCGCCGUAGCUAACGCAUUAAGCGCCCCGCCUGGGGAGUACGGCCGCAAGGCUAAAACUCAAAGGAAUUGACGGGGGCCCGCACAAGCGGCGGAGCAUGUUGCUUAAUUCGACGCAACGCGAAGAACCUUACCAAGGUUUGACAUCACCCGUGGACUCGCAGAGAUGUGAGGUCAUUUAGUUGGCGGGUGACAGGUGGUGCAUGGCUGUCGUCAGCUCGUGUCGUGAGAUGUUGGGUUAAGUCCCGCAACGAGCGCAACCCUUGUUCCAUGUUGCCAGCACGUAAUGGUGGGGACUCAUGGGAGACUGCCGGGGUCAACUCGGAGGAAGGUGGGGAUGACGUCAAGUCAUCAUGCCCCUUAUGUCUUGGGCUGCAAACAUGCUACAAUGGCCGGUACAAUGGGCGUGCGAUACCGUAAGGUGGAGCGAAUCCCUAAAAGCCGGUCUCAGUUCGGAUUGGGGUCUGCAACUCGACCCCAUGAAGGUGGAGUCGCUAGUAAUCGCGGAUCAGCAACGCCGCGGUGAAUACGUUCCCGGGCCUUGUAACACCGCCCGUCCGUCAUGAAAGUCGGCACACCCGAACUUGCGGCCUAUCCCUUGUGGGAGGAGUGAGUGAAGGUGGGCUGGCGAUGGGACAAAUCGUACAGGGUAACCGUAAAAUUUUUUUUUUGU
Molecule: ribosomal RNA, 982 nt
Filed under: Nocardiopsis synnemataformans
Lineage: Bacteria; Bacillati; Actinomycetota; Actinomycetes; Streptosporangiales; Nocardiopsidaceae
Description: bacterial SSU rRNA
Rfam family: Bacterial small subunit ribosomal RNA
Source: RNAcentral